CCUACGGGGGGCAGCAGUGGGGAAUAUUGGACAAUGGGGGGAACCCUGAUCCAGCCAUGCCGCGUGUGUGAAGAAGGCCCUCGGGUUGUAAAGCACUUUCAGUGAGGAAGAACGCCUGGUGGUUAAUACCCAUCAGGAAAGACAUCACUCACAGAAGAAGCACCGGCUAACUCCGUGCCAGCAGCCGCGGUAAUACGGAGGGUGCGAGCGUUAAUCGGAAUUACUGGGCGUAAAGCGCGCGUAGGUGGCUUGAUAAGCCGGUUGUGAAAGCCCCGGGCUCAACCUGGGAACGGCAUCCGGAACUGUCAAGCUAGAGUGCAGGAGAGGAAGGUAGAAUUCCCGGUGUAGCGGUGAAAUGCGUAGAGAUCGGGAGGAAUACCAGUGGCGAAGGCGGCCUUCUGGACUGACACUGACACUGAGGUGCGAAAGCGUGGGUAGCCAACAGGAUUAGAUACCCUAGUAGUC
Molecule: ribosomal RNA, 465 nt
Filed under: Vreelandella stevensii
Lineage: Bacteria; Pseudomonadati; Pseudomonadota; Gammaproteobacteria; Oceanospirillales; Halomonadaceae
Description: partial 16S ribosomal RNA
Rfam family: Bacterial small subunit ribosomal RNA
Source: RNAcentral